AUGUUGCUACGUUCCAUGUCUCAUUCACUUGUACAUGUUGCAGCGCCAGGGCCAAAAGUUAAGGCGGCUAUCAAACCUUUUCGGUUGUCGUGGCCCGAGUAUGUAUCACCAGAACGGUCUAGGUCGGCGACACCAUCAGAUCCCGCUUCGGGGCAGGGCCAUGGUGAACCUUUCGCGGAUGAGGAUGUGGGUGUGGUCACCCAAGAGGUUGCUGAUGAUAUGACCGUGGGGACGUACCAGGCUCGGUCUGCAUACGAGUUGAAACCUAGGAAGGGAAUCAACAAGUACACACCUGAAGACUUCACCCAAAGAGGCCAAAGAGGCAAAAGGACGGUCGGCACCUCGCGGAUGGCGGCUUUGGAUGACUAUUUGGAUGACAAUGUAGAUGACGUGGAGGAACCGGAGCCGGAGCCGGAGCGGGUUCCUCUUCCUAGGAAGGUGAAGAAGAUAAGCGUCAAGAGGGGGGAGGAGCCAGCAAGCGCGGAAAGCACUAGUCAUCGUCCUUUAUUUAUAAUGUUGAACUUAGAGUGGAAUUUGUUAUGUCAUUGA
This 549-nucleotide ribosomal RNA is filed under the name Triticum aestivum (bread wheat). RNAcentral describes it as "partial small subunit ribosomal RNA". Lineage: Eukaryota; Viridiplantae; Streptophyta; Magnoliopsida; Poales; Poaceae. The record is from RNAcentral.